GUGCUUGCUUCGGCAGCACAUAUACCAAAAUGGGAACAAUACAUAGAAGAAUAGUAUAACACCUGCACAAGGAUGACACGAAAAUUCAUGAAGCGUUCCAUAUUUUC
Molecule: small nuclear RNA, 107 nt
Filed under: Sphenodon punctatus (tuatara)
Lineage: Eukaryota; Metazoa; Chordata; Lepidosauria; Sphenodontia; Sphenodontidae
Source: RNAcentral